RNAcentral lists this long non-coding RNA (625 nucleotides) under Parus major (Great Tit). RNAcentral describes it as "lncRNA (ENSPMJG00000004686.1)". Lineage: Eukaryota; Metazoa; Chordata; Aves; Passeriformes; Paridae. The record is from RNAcentral.
GGAGCCCCCGGCGCGCUCGGGCCCGGCGGGCAGAGCUCCGCACCCGCGGAGCCCCGGCGGGGCGGGCAGAGGCGCAGCCCCGGGACCCCCGACCCGCUCCCGAGUUCCAAAAUGACCUUUCCCUGCAUCGUUUUGGAGCAGAAAUAAAAGAAGGCUUGCAGCUACCAGAAAGUCAUUAAGGCAUUAGUUUCUCUGAGAAGACAGAUCUGAAGAAAAUUCAAGAAAAUGAGAAAAUAGAUCUAAAUAAGGUGGAGUUGAAUACAGUGGUUAACUACAAGCAAUAUGUUCUGAAGAUGGUGGUGUUCAGACAAAUACCCAAUUUGAUUCUGAUAAAUUGGAUGCAAGACUUUGACCAGCAUGAGAAGAACAGGCAUUGUGGAAGCAGGCAGCAUCCCACACCUGUGGAGGAGCUCAGCAGGAGAACAAAUGGGGGAAAAUAUUCCCAAUGUCUGUUGCUGCUGGUGGCUCAGGGAGUUUGAGCAGAGGUCUGUGGUGGUCCAGCUCGUUGGAAACUUUUGUGCUCAAACCAGGAGGAUGCUCCAGCUGGAGCUAAUUCCUGAAUUUCAAAUCUGUGCCUCCGCCGGUUUUGACACCGUGCAAUGAAGCAUCCGAGCUCUCAGAUGUC